This 408-nucleotide ribosomal RNA is filed under the name uncultured bacterium. RNAcentral's name for it is "partial 16S ribosomal RNA". It matches the Rfam family "Bacterial small subunit ribosomal RNA", at positions 28 to 526 of the family's 1533-position model. The record is from RNAcentral.
GACGAACGCUGGCGGCGUGCUUAACACAUGCAAGUCGAACGAAGUGGCGAACGGGUGAGUAAUACGUGAGUAACCUGCCCUCCUUUUUGGGAUAAGCCUUGGAAACGGGGUCUAAUAACGAAUUAAGGGGGAUGGGCUCGCGGCCUAUCAGCUUGUUGGUGGGGUGAUGGCCUACCACGGCGGUGACGGGUAGCCGGCCUGAGAGGGUGACCGGCCUCAAUGGGACUGAGAUACGGCCCAGACUCCUACGGGAGGCAGCGGGGGGGGGUAUUGCACAAUGGGCGAAAGCCUGAUGCAGCGACGCCGCGGGGGGGAAGAAGGCUUUCGGGUUGUAAACCGCUUUCAGCCAUGACGCGGUAGUGACAGAAGAAGCACCGGCUAACUACGUGCCAGCAGCCGCGGUAAUUC